This is a long non-coding RNA of Dasypus novemcinctus (nine-banded armadillo), 2040 nucleotides long. The record is from Ensembl. NCBI's taxonomy places the organism in Eukaryota, Metazoa, Chordata, Mammalia, Cingulata, Dasypodidae.
AUGGGCAAGGCCUGGUUCUCACAGCCCAUAAUAGCCUCAGCAGCUUGGCAAUUAGUCAACUCUAUGACCUGGGGACUCCCGGCAUCCUUCAAGCAAGCCAUUUCCGAAGAAGGUGAAGAGAAACCAAGACGAUUUGCACCUCCUCCUCCUCCUUCUCCUCCUCCUCCUCUUCCUCUCCCCCUGCCCGGGCCCCCUCCUGUGCGUGUGUUUCAGUCAACACAGGAGCCUGGAUUGUGGAAAAUCCUCCAGCACAACUCAGUUCGGCUCAGAGAAGUCUCCGGAAUGGCCUAAGUUUGUGCAAUAAGAAGAUUUUUUUUUUUUCCUUUUUAAAAUUCUUCAUCACCUUUUCUUUAAGUGUCUGUGAGAAAGUACCCAGGUCAGACUGGAAUUGCUCUGCGACAGAAGUAACUGAACACAAACUGACAAAGAAAAAAAAAAGUUAACUAUUUUAUUUAUUUCAAUAUUUAAAAGGAAAAAGUGCUGACGUUGCACAGUAUUUUUGUUUAAAAUACCUUCUUCUUCAAAAGUUAAAAGCAAUCUUGUGAAGACGUGAAAUCAAAAAACUACUUAAUGUAAAAUAAAGACUGAAUAUUAACUCUGAGGGAAAAUACCCCACAUUUUUAAUAAGAAAAUAAAGAUCAACUCUGCUCUCUCAGGCUUUUUAAUAAGCCGCUCAUGUAUGUGCUUUAGAUAUUUUUUUAUUUCUGCGAGUUGGAUGUGGUAAGUGAGGAGUGAUCAGGUUUUGUUUGUUUGUUUGUUUUUCCCUUCUUCAGGAGUCUAUGGAAAAUGUUGGUGAUGUGAAAGAUUAUGUGUUAAGGAUUGACUGAAAUAAAUUAGCCACAAAGGCUAUCAGCAAUCCCCCGUCCUUCGCUACCCCCCCACCUCCCACAGUAGGCAAGCCCCAUUUAUCUGAAUGUCCAGAAGCAGUCUGCCUCCUGGUAAUUGUGUGUGAUGAGCCUAGUUCAGGAAGGAAUUCCACUGAGUGAUUGAAUGUAUAUCUCUGCUAGUUAACAGAUUCAAACACAGACUGCUUUGUUUAAAAUAAUGCAGCAAAGGAAAAACAGUUAAAAAGCAAAAAAAAAAAGAAACAUCAUUUGUGAUAUCACCUAACUCCUUCUAGAGGAGACUCGCAAAGGGAGCAUUCUGCCUAGCUGGCUUCAGGUGCCUGAGAUACCAGUGCUGUCCCCAAGGGCGAGAAAGGCAGACCUAAGUGAUGGAAAGCUCAGAUUCCCAUUUCCAGAGAGGGUUAAGGGGGAAGGUAAAUAUUCUAACAUUUCCUUUUAUGGUCACAUAGGUGGAAGAGAGAGUUAUGGCUAUGAACUGUAACUCAAUGUUGUUUCUGUCACCUAGCAAAGGACCUGGGCCACUGGGUUUCUAUUCCCAGGUUCCCAAUAGGACACCUCUUAAAGGUUCAUGCCCUUGAGUUCCCCUCACUUGUAGCAGACUCAUAAUAAUAAAUGUAUAAUCUAACACUGGAUAGUCUUGUCAGAAAAGGUCCUUAAAUCACAGUGUUACUGAAAUGGUUCUGAGAAUGAGCUUCUCCUUUGCCUUUGAAAGAGGAGGGUAGAUGGGCACAGUCUUUGCCUGCCAACCCUUCCAGGUUUCCCAUUCAAGACCAAUCCCAGGGGGUGAUCACCAAGAAUAAAGAAAAAAGAAUUAUAUCAUUCUGAAGCCCUUUUCUGUGACAUUUUCUGAUAGAAAAUGUCCCUCAUGGAAAUGCUAAUAAUUAUAAUACUCUGCUCUCCAACCAACUCCCACAAAUUCCAACACGUGUAGAAUUGUGAUAAAGCUUUGCAUAACGUAGGGUUUGUAUCAAGUUUGUGAAAGUUUCUGUUAAAUAAAAGUCUGUUUCCAAUGCUCUUAUAGCAUCUUUGUAAAUUUUGCUUUACCACCCUCAUCCUACAUGAGUUAGAUUUUCACGCUGUCAUGUGGAAGGGACUCUUGAAAGGAUUCUGCCUGCUUGCAUGCCUUGGGUUUGUUGAACUCUAUUGUUUUAUUUAGAAGCACAGUCUAGAGAGGAAGUUGUGACUGGCUUGGCUG